UCAAGUCAUCAUGGCCCUUACGACCAGGGCUACACACGUGCUACAAUGGCGCAUACAAAGAGAAGCGACCUCGCGAGAGCAAGCGGACCUCAUAAAGUGCGUCGUAGUCCGGAUUGGAGUCUGCAACUCGACUCCAUGAAGUCGGAAUCGCUAGUAAUCGUGGAUCAGAAUGCCACGGUGAAUACGUUCCCGGGCCUUGUACACACCGCCCGUCACACCAUGGGAGUGGGUUGCAAAAGAAGUAGGUAGCUUAACCUUCGGGAGGGCGCUUACCACUUUGUGAUUCAUGACUGGGGUGAAGUCGUAACAAGGUAACCGUAGGGGAACCUGCGGUUGGAUCACCUCCUUA
This 349-nucleotide ribosomal RNA is filed under the name Escherichia coli. RNAcentral's name for it is "bacterial SSU rRNA". It matches the Rfam family "Bacterial small subunit ribosomal RNA", at positions 1185 to 1533 of the family's 1533-position model. The record is from RNAcentral. RNAcentral also lists the same sequence under 3 other names. Lineage: Bacteria; Pseudomonadati; Pseudomonadota; Gammaproteobacteria; Enterobacterales; Enterobacteriaceae.